UUUUUUGUGGCCGAGGUUUCAGGCUGGAGAUUUUUAAUCUUCCCACGGGCUUUAGGGCCCCUUGCGU
This 67-nucleotide transfer RNA is filed under the name Trimusculus reticulatus. RNAcentral's name for it is "tRNA-Lys". Lineage: Eukaryota; Metazoa; Mollusca; Gastropoda; Ellobiida; Trimusculidae. The record is from RNAcentral.